AUUUAGCCAGCCACAGCAUUCAAAUGAAUGAACUAAAUUUGGUAAUAGAUGCAGUUAAUAGCGGAAUAAACGUUAUAAACAAACUAAAUGAAGAAAAAGACAGGAAUCAACAAAUAGAAAUUUUGAUAUUCAAUCUACAACAUUUCACAGAAUAUAUCGAAGAUAUAGAACUAGGUAUGCAAUUAACUAGGCUCGGUAUAUUUAAUCCAAAAUUAUUAAAACAAGACUACCUGGAACAAAUAAAUUCUGAGAAAAUACUAAAUAUAAAAACCUCCACAUGGCUAAAAUCCGAUACCAACGAAAUUCUAAUAAUUUCCAACAUUCCCAAAGACAUUACAAAAGUACCAAUCUAUAAAAUCGUUCCGUAUCCAGACGAAUUAAAUAACAUGUUAACAGAUAUGACAUACGACAAGUACUACAUAAAAAAUGAAGAAGUAUGUGUUAAAGAAACUAGAUUGAAAACCAAUGACAAUUGUAUAAAAGGAAUUUUAAUGCAAAUUCCCACUAAAUGUCCAUAUUCCAAAACUUUUCAAAACUUUCAAAUAAACUUUAUUGAACCCAAUAUACUAAUCACAUAGAAUCUUCCAAAAACAUGGCUAAACCAGAAUUGUGUAAACCAAGAAAUCAUAGCGGAAGGAAAUACCAUUAUAAAAAUCUACAACUGUUCAAUCCAAUUAAAUGAAUUUACAAUAUCAAACACAAUGUUAGAUUUUGCCCAGAAUGUUUAUGUCAACAACAACAUAACUAAAAUAAAACCACUGUCGUAUGUCCAAACUAAUGAAAUAAUUAUGCAAUACACCAAAUAUAGUAACCUAUUACAAAUAAGUCUACUAAUUUCAUUUGUCAUAAUUAUAUUAGUACUACUAAGUUAUGUAGCUGUUAAAUUUAAGAAAACUUCUAAAAGAGUCACGGUUAAAUGUAUUAACCCUAUAAUAGAAGCAGAAGAGGAACCAACCUCAGCCACCGCACUUGACAGCCCGUCACUAUACCCGAGGGUAAUCGCCUAGGGACUGGCUAAUAACAAACGUUGGGGGAGUGACAUAUCCAUAAUUCCCCACAUCCCAUACACAUUAUGUUUAUGUACAAUUCAUCCACCCCAUCCACACAAGUAACAGGACCCCCCCACUCAAGAAUCAAUAACUGUUUCUUCCCAUACUCCAAGCUAGAGCCCCCCAUAAUAUAAACAAUGGACCACAUUGUUUCAUCAACAUUAGAAUCACGCCACUCUCGAGAAAUCGAUUCUUUAGAAUCACGCCACUCAUGAGGACCAAUCAAAGCUAGACAUAAAACCAACGAGUAUCACAUUCCUAGCUCCGUCAUGUAAUGCAACACCGAUCGCCAGCAGUGGAUGCCUUUCAUCAAAGCCGACGCAUCCCCAAAUAUCGAUCCAGGCACGUACGCCACCGACACGAAGAUGCAGCCGAGGAAAGCAACGCCCGAAGCCAGAGUCGGGAGUUCCAAGAGAAGGGCACAUGGAAACUAGCCAGCAGCAGAGAGAUCAGUUCCGUUUGAGACAAGCAGACCCAAAGUCAAGUCGGGGAAUUCAUUUAAAUCUUGUGACAUAAAGAUAUUUAAGUUGUAAAAUAAAAGUCUUUUUUAAAAAACUUAAAAUCGAGUUGCGGAUAUUUAACUAUAUAUGUAUAUCGCACUAAUCGAGGCUAAGCUGCAAAUAAACAUUAGACGCCGUGGUUAAAAUCCCUCCCUGAGGAACCGCCACGUAAAAUAAAGCUGAGAGAUCAGAUUCAUUCUGUCCCUAUCUACUAUCUAGCGAAACCACAGCCAAGGGAACGGGCUUGGAAUAAUUAGCGGGGAAAGAAGACCCUUUUGAGCUUGACUCUAAUCUGGCAGUGUAACGAGACAUAAGAGGUGUAGCAUAAGUGGGAGAUAUUAGAUUUCGGUUUGGUAUCGACAAUCAAAUACCACUACUCUUAUUGUUUCCAUACUUACUUGAUUAAAUGGAACGUGUAUCAUUUCCUAGCCAUUAUAUGGAUAUAUUUAUUAUAUCUUAUGGUAUUGGGUUUUGAUGCAAGCUUCUUGAUCAAAGUAUCACGAGUUUGUUAUAUAAUCGCAAACAAAUUCUUUAAUGAGAAGAUGCAUUUAUGUAUUUUCAAUUUGGUGUAACUCCAAUUACUCAGGUAUGGUCCAAUUCAAGGACAUUGCCAGGUAGGGAGUUUGACUGGGGCGGUACAUCUCUCAAAUAAUAACGGAGGUGUCCCAAGGCCAGCUCAGUGCGGACAGAAACCACACAUAGAGCAAAAGGGCAAAUGCUGACUUGAUCUCGGUGUUCAGUACACACAGGGACAGCAAAAGCUCGGCCUACCGAUCAUUUUGGUUUAAAGAGUUUUUAACAAGAGGUGUCAGAAAAGUUACCAUAGGGAUAGCUGGCUUGUGGCGGGCAAGCGUUCAUAGCGACGUCGCUUUUUGAUCCUUCGAUGUCGGCUCUUCCUAUCAUUGUGAAGCAAAAUUCACCAAGCGUUGGAUUGUUCACCCAUGCAAGGGAACGUGAGCUGGGUUUAGACCGUCGUGAGACAGGUUAGUUUUACCCUACUUAUGACAAAACGUUGGGCGACAGCAUUCCUGCGUAGUACGAAAGGAACCGCAGGUACGGACCAAUGGCACAAUACUUGUUCGAGCGAACAGUGGUAUGGCGCUACGUCCGUUGGAUUAAGCCUGAACGCCUCUAAGGUCGUAUCCGUGCUGGACUGCAAUGAUAAAUAAGGGGCAAUUUGCAUUGUAUGGCUUCUAAACCAUUAAAAGUUUAUAAUUUAUUUCAUGAACGACAAUGGAUGUGAUGCCAAUGUAAUUUGUAACAUAGUAAAUUGGGAGGAUCAUCGAUCACCUGAUGCCGCGCUAGUUGCAUAUAAAAACAAUGACAAAGCCUAGAAUCAAUUGU
This 2893-nucleotide ribosomal RNA is filed under the name Drosophila miranda. Its description in RNAcentral is "eukaryotic LSU rRNA". The stretch from base 1719 to 2893 matches the Rfam family "Eukaryotic large subunit ribosomal RNA", at positions 1891 to 3308 of the family's 3401-position model. Lineage: Eukaryota; Metazoa; Arthropoda; Insecta; Diptera; Drosophilidae. The record is from RNAcentral.